This 326-nucleotide ribosomal RNA is filed under the name uncultured eukaryote. RNAcentral describes it as "partial 18S ribosomal RNA". It matches the Rfam family "Eukaryotic small subunit ribosomal RNA", at positions 1470 to 1796 of the family's 1831-position model. The record is from RNAcentral.
CCCUUAGAUGUUCUGGGCCGCACGCGCGCUACACUGAUAAUGUCAACAAGCUUUACCUUGACCGAUAGGUCUGGGCAAUCUUCGAACUAUUAUCGUGAUGGGGCUAGAUUAUUGCAACUAUUAAUCUUAAACGAGGAAUUCCUAGUAAGCGCGAGUCAUCAGCUCGCGUUGAUUACGUCCCUGCCCUUUGUACACACCGCCCGUCGCUCCUACCGAUUGGAUUGGCUGGUGAAGCGUUCGGAUUGUGGGUUCGGAGCGGUUCGCCGUUCUGGGCUUGCGAGAAGUUCGUUAAACCCUCCUAUCUAGAGGAAGGAGAAGUCGUAACA